Molecule: long non-coding RNA, 2388 nt
Filed under: Salmo salar (Atlantic salmon)
Lineage: Eukaryota; Metazoa; Chordata; Actinopteri; Salmoniformes; Salmonidae
Description: lncRNA (ENSSSAG00000083464.1)
Rfam family: mir-129 microRNA precursor family (bases 82-155)
Source: RNAcentral
GUUUCAGGUGCUGAGAGGACUGUCUGACCAUAUGCAAACGUGACCGUAACCUUGAUGUUGACGUUGACCCCUUUGUCCUCUUCAGGUCUUUUUGCGGUCUGGGCUUGCUGUUAACAAACCUCAACCCAGGAAGCCCUUACCCCAAAAAGCAUCUGCAGUUGACCCCAGCAUCACAAACCAUUCUCUACAAUGUUAUCGAAUGCAAAGGCACAGUUCGUCUUGUCUUCUCUCCUUACUCGACCCCCCCUCUAUGCCACUCUGCUGUGGGGCGACCAGUCCAAGUCUCUCCAGGCACUCAUCGACUCGGUGGCCGAUGUGAGUCUCAUAGACAUUACCCUGGCGUUUGAGCUGGGCAUCCCCACUCAAGCCCUCUCCAUUCCCAUGGGUGUUAGAGCGCUGGACAGGCACUCUAUAGGCCAGGUAACCCACCAGACCACCCACAUCAGCCUACAAGUGUCAGGGAGGCUAUCCAAUUCCUCUCUGCAGGUCCCCGUGGUAUUGGGAUUCUCCUGGCUCCAGCGACACAAUCCCUCCAUUGACUGGGCUACUGGUGCCAUCGUGGGCUGGAGCUCGUCCUAACACUCAUUGCCUGAAGUCAGCUCUGCCUGCCCCGGGAUGUCUUCCAGGGGGCUUGCAAAUUGCCCAGGACCUUUUCGCCAGCUCCGCAGAGUACCAGGACCUCCGGGAGGGGUUCAGUAAGGCUCGGGCCACUUCGCUUCUGCAGCACCAACCGGUAUCCAAGAAGGUCAAGUCUGAGGCACUGGCAUGUCGCUAUAGGGCUGCGGCUACACCCCCGGAAGCCGAGACCUGUACCCCCCCGCUCCAAGAUCAUUAGCCCCUCUGCUGUUCGUCCUCUGUUGCCCUGUACCCUCCUUAUUUUUUCUACCUUUUCUGUCUAGAGUCAAAACCAUGUCUGACAGCCCCUUGUCUUCUGUUUCUAGGCCCAUCCCUCCCUCCCCCCCGUGUCAUCGAGGGCCAGCAAGCGUACACGGUGAGACGCCUCCUGAGGGUUCGACCACGGAGCAGGGGUUUCCAGUACCUGGUUGACUGGGAGGGUUAUGGCCCGGAGGAGAGGUGCUGGGUUCCCGCUAAAGACAUCUUGGACCCGGCCCUCAUCGCCGACUUUCACCGCCGCCAGCCCAGUCAACCAGGUAUCCUCCCAGGUGGAAUGCCAAGUGGCAUCCCUAGGGGGGGGGUACUGUCACACCCUGAUGUUUCACCUGUCCUUGUGCUUGUCUCCACCCCCCUCCAGGUGUCGCCCAUUUUCCCUAUUACCCUGUGUAUUUAUUCCUGUGUUCUCUGUCUGUUUGUUGCCUGUUCGUUCAAGCUUACCAGCCUCUCUUUCCUCGUCCUCCUGGUUUUUGACCUUUGCCUGUCCUGACCCUGUACCCACCCGCCUGACCUCUCUGCCUGCCGUCCUGUACCUUUGCUCCACCUCUGGAUUACUGAACUCUGCCUGACCCCGAGUCCGCCUGCCGUCCUGUACUUUUGCCUUACCCUGGAUUUUCGACCCCUGCCUGCCUUGACCUGUCUUUGCCUGCCCCUGUUGCUUCAAUAAACAUUGUCACUUCAAGUCUGCAUCUGGGUCUUACCUUGAUCCCUGAUAGAUGCAGAUAUCUCUAACUUAAACUGCCUUUUUUUAUAGGGAUUUUUUUUCUUUCAUUAUGCUAAUUAGAUUUGAACAGCUAACAUAUAGUGUUUGAUCACGUGCAACUUCAUCAACAAUUUUAAUUGUCUGAUGCUCAUUUUGAGACAUAAUUAUUUUUUUUCUUAAACUUGUUCUAAUGUUUGCAAGUAUGGUACCUGUGGCUCCAGUCCAGACAACCAGUUGCCCACUUCUGGACCUGAUCUGACCAAUAGCUGCCUAACACCUGUGCUAAGGUCUCAACUCUGUUCUAGUCCAGUAGAUGGCAGCAGAAUAUCUGUUUUUGAACGUUAAAUAAUUCUACGUUGGGAAACAGUCAUGGAUGUGACUGCAGAGUAACACCUAUGCAUACAAGCAUGUACAAACACAUCUUCCAUAACCCACUUACACAACCCCCGCAUCUAGUUCCUAGAACCUGUAUAAUGUUCUAUUGAAGUGGAGUGACCUCACAAGUUUAACUUUUAGUUGACAAGUCAGGAUCUGGAAGCCUAACAGUCUUGCAGAGCAACAAUAUGCUGUUGUGUCUUCUCCCUGGAAAUCUGUGGACCAGUUUGUCUUGAAAAGAGCCAUCAGUACAGCUUUGUCAAACCAAUGUGUGUGAGUGUGUGUAUCAUGGUUGCUGUAAGGAGAGGUAUAUAUUUCAUUUGAUUGAUUGGUGAGAUCACUGUCUGCAACCCUUCCCCCACCCAGUCAGCUGUUUUUGUAUUGUGCUGUACUCUGGAGUUUCAAUAAAACAAAAAAAA